GUUUGUGUUAGGUGAGUCUUCUGAUCUUUACACUUAUACAGUCCAUAUCCAAUCAGAAUAGAUUGUUUACGUUAUUAAUACACUUUCCUGCCCUUAUUGUGAAUGUUUCAUUGGUGCAUGGAAUAAAAAAACCUUCAUAAUCUUCAUGAUUUUCUUUUUCAGAUGACGUCACAAUCUGACUCCGUUUUGAUCUCUCUGCCAAUGGUAAAUUACUCCAUCUGCAUGUUUCUAUAGCAACAUGAUGACUUGAACAUCUAAAAUGGAACAAUGUUUUGGAACAAUAUUCUUCAUGUGCAUUCUUUUAGUGUGCAAAAAGUGGAGGCAGCACCAUCUCUAGAAAAGAUCAGUAGCUUGUCAAAAAAUCUUGAAGUCUUAGAUCUCAUCCUGAAGUUCAGAUGCGGUAAGCCUUGGUCUUUUUCAGCCAGGAAAACACUGAUACCAUCGUAGCAUCCAACAAACCUCUCCAGAAUAUGUGGCGUCUGUCGGUGUGUGAGAGCAGAUUAUUUGAAGGUUUUCAGCACAUAGCCAUGAGUUCAUAAAGAGCUCAAUCUGACAUUUCAGCACAGACAUUUUUCAUUGUAUUAUGCAGUAGUUUCAUGAGCAACUUUUUCCUCAAUUAACUCGACAGCUCCUCUGUUUGAAGGCCGUGGCGGGAGCUCCCGCACAAAUCUGCCCAUCGCUCCUUACACUGCUCAAACUCUUCAGAUGAAUGAUGUAGAUGCUCCGGAGAGGCUGGAGGGAAACAUCUCCAUCAUCUUUGCUUUGUUUUGGUUUCAGUUCAGCCGCAGAUGUUCAGUGCAUGGAAAUCUCUAGAGAAGACAUCACUUAUUACAGAAGACGCCAUGUUCUUUUAAAUGUGUUUAUUGUCAUCCUUCUGGCUACAGGUUUAACAUGGAUUUAAUUAUUCAUAUUUUUUUGUAUUAUUGUGCUAAAUCAUGAAAAGACCAGCAUUGUUUGAUAAAAGACAUCUUGGGGGUUUAUUGGUAACAUAUUACAAUACUUUCAUUUGUUAAGAUCAUUUAACCACAGUUAAAAAUUAUUCUAAAUCAUUGUCAAAAGUUGUAUCUGUUGAUAUUAUUUAAUGGGCCUGAG
This is a long non-coding RNA of Cyprinus carpio carpio, 1092 nucleotides long. NCBI's taxonomy places the organism in Eukaryota, Metazoa, Chordata, Actinopteri, Cypriniformes, Cyprinidae. The record is from Ensembl.